UACGUAGGGACCGAGCGUUGUCCGGAAUCAUUGGGCGUAAAGCGCGUGUAGGCGGCUUGGUAGGUUUCGUGUUAAAUCCCUCGGCUCAACCGAGGAAUCGCACGGAAAACCACCUCGCUAGAGUCCGGAAGAGGGAUGCGGAAUUCCAGGUGGAGCGGUGAAAUGCGUAGAGAUCUGGAAGAACACCAAAGGCGAAGGCAGCAUUCUGGCUCGGACCUGACGCUCAUGUGCGAAAGCU
Molecule: ribosomal RNA, 238 nt
Filed under: uncultured bacterium
Lineage: Bacteria
Description: partial 16S ribosomal RNA
Rfam family: Bacterial small subunit ribosomal RNA
Source: RNAcentral